GUAGUCCUAGCCCUAAACUAUGGAUGCUUGGUGUGAUCGGUACCCAAUCCGAUCGUGCCGAAGCUAACGCGAUAAGCAUCCCGCCUGGGGAGUACGGUCGCAAGACUGAAACUCAAAGGAAUUGACGGGGGCCCGCACAAGCGGUGGAGCAUGUGGUUCAAUUCGACGCAACGCGAAGAACCUUACCUGGGCUCGAAAUGUAGGAGACAGGGGUAGAAAUAUCCCUUUCCGCAAGGACCCCUAUAUAGGUGCUGCAUGGCUGUCGUCAGCUCGUGUCGUGAGAUGUUGGGUUAAGUCCCGCAACGAGCGCAACCCUUAUCUCUAGUUGCCAUCGGGUCAAGCCGGGCACUCUAGCGAAACCGCGUAGGAUAACUACGA
RNAcentral lists this ribosomal RNA (378 nucleotides) under uncultured bacterium. Its description in RNAcentral is "bacterial SSU rRNA". It matches the Rfam family "Bacterial small subunit ribosomal RNA", at positions 790 to 1167 of the family's 1533-position model. The record is from RNAcentral.